Molecule: long non-coding RNA, 430 nt
Organism: Strigops habroptila (Kakapo)
Lineage: Eukaryota; Metazoa; Chordata; Aves; Psittaciformes; Psittacidae
Exons: 3
Source: RefSeq, a predicted model, not a curated record
GCUGAUAUUGUUGCCCCCAUGGUGCUUUGCAUAUCCUCUGGAGCAGCUGCUUUUCCUUCUUCCUAACCAUAGGCAUAAUGAUAAGGAGGAUGAUGCUCUGAGAAGAGUGGGAAGCCUGGCACAAAAAUGUUCCAUGACAGUUAUAGAUGGUCAAUAAGAACUGAAAUAGUUGAUCCAAAGGAAGGUCAACUACCAUCAUCAACUGAGCAGUUUAAGGCUUCAUUGCACAGUAUGCAGGAAAAACAUGAAGAGUCCUUCAAAGCACAGGUUCUUGGUGUGGAAUCAGAGUGAUACUCUACCUACCCACCUCCACUUCAUCUGACAUGAAUGGAAGUAUCUAACACAGCUCUGAACUCAGGAAGUACUACCUGGUUCUAUAUGCAACUGAGGCAAAGAGGAAUUAAUUUCCAAGGCCAUACCAAAUAAUCUU